RNAcentral lists this ribosomal RNA (419 nucleotides) under uncultured bacterium. RNAcentral's name for it is "bacterial SSU rRNA". It matches the Rfam family "Bacterial small subunit ribosomal RNA", at positions 8 to 424 of the family's 1533-position model. The record is from RNAcentral.
AGAGUUUGAUCCUGGCUCAGAAUUAACGCUGGCAGAGUGCAUAACACAUGCAAGUCGAGCGAGACUAGUAGCAAUACUAGUCUAGCGGCAGACGAGUGAGUAACACGUAAACAAUCUACCCUUGAAUGGCGAAUAACCAAUCGAAAGGCUGGCUAAUACGCCGUACUCUCCCUUGAAGGCAUCUUCGAGGGAGGAGAGAUCCGCAAGGAUCGUUCUUGGAGGAGUUUGCGGCCCAUCAGCUAGUUGGCGGUGUAAUAGACCACCAAGGCUACGACGGGUACCCGGCCUGAAAGGGCGGACGGGCACGAUGGCACUGAGACACGGGCCAUACUCCUACGGGAGGCAGCAGUGGGGAAUUUUGGACAAUGGGCGAAAGCCUGAUCCAGCAACUCUGCGUGAGGGACGAAGGUCUUCGGAUC